AAGCACAUUUUGGUACAUAUAAUAAUGAAUUGGCACAAAAUUGAAGUUCUAAAGAACAAGCCAAUAAGAACUCAUUAGUGAAUUCCAAAAAUAGGUUUUCUAAGAGAUACUAAAAUUCAACACAUUAUUCUCUCCCUUUUUCAUUAAAUUAGAGGCUCUUAAGAUCAAUUUUUUUGAAUUGCAAUUUGGUUUAUGAUUUAUGCAUAAGAUAUAUUAACCAAAUAACAAGCCUCAAGGUGUAUCAUAAAGAUUUUCAGAUUUAAAUUUCAGAUGAUACAUAUUGGAGAGUAUUAGGAUCACUUUUCAUUUAGUAUUCUUUCUCUCUCCUUUAGUUAUAGAUUUAUGCGAUUAAGUUUCAUAAAAUCUCUCCUUCUGAGAUUUUCUUUCUUUCCCUCAAUUGAUCAUUUCAUUUAAGAGUUUAGAAUUUGAAGAUAAUGUUCAAUAAAAUUGUCAAUCUCGAAAAUAUAUUUUCUAUAAGUUUCAGCUUAUUUUCAUAAGACUCAAGGUUUGAGAUAAGACACCCUUUAUAGAACUCAUCUCAAGGUAUAAACUUAUUAUAUAAUUAAAGCAAGUCUUGCAAUAUAAGGAGGUUCAUCAACAUCAAUCCAUAACGUAUAGAAGAUAUUUAUCAAAUGGACAUGAUAUUUUGCAUUUAGAUUGAAUAUCCAAAGCUCCCCCUCAAA
Molecule: long non-coding RNA, 683 nt
Filed under: Phoenix dactylifera (date palm)
Lineage: Eukaryota; Viridiplantae; Streptophyta; Magnoliopsida; Arecales; Arecaceae
Description: long non-coding RNA (PDAC_LNC017439)
Source: RNAcentral